This 236-nucleotide long non-coding RNA is filed under the name Cervus elaphus hippelaphus. It matches the Rfam family "7SK RNA", at positions 1 to 243 of the family's 331-position model. From Rfam's summary of the family: 7SK was discovered as an abundant small nuclear RNA in the mid-70s but a possible function has only recently been suggested. Lineage: Eukaryota; Metazoa; Chordata; Mammalia; Artiodactyla; Cervidae. The record is from RNAcentral.
GAAUGUGAGGGUGAUCUGGUUGCAACACCUGUCACCCCACUGAUCACCAGGGCUGAUUCAGCUGAUCUGCCUGCCUAGGCAAGUAUCCCUCCUCUCUCACCCCUCCGUGUGCAUCGCUCCUGAAGCUGUGUGCUCAGUCAAAGAGACAACCAUCUCUGAUAGAGGAGGACCGGUCUUCGGUCAAGGGUAGCUGUGCUACCUACCCUACUAGAACAUCCAAACAAACUCUCAAGAUC